CCUACGGGUGACAGCAGUGAGGAAUAUUGGUCAAUGGGCUUACGCCUGAACCAGCCAAGUCGCGUGAGGGAAGACUGCCCUAUGGGUUGUAAACCUCUUUUGUCAGGGAGCAACGCCGGCUACGUGUAGCCGGACUGAGAGUACCUGAAGAAAAAGCAUCGGCUAACCCCGUGCCAGCAGCCGCGGUAAUACGGAGGAUGCGAGCGUUAUCCGGAUUUAUUGGGUUUAAGGGGUGCGUAGGCGGAAUGCAAAGUCAGCGGUAAAAUCGCGGGGCUCAACCUCGCUCCGCCGUUGAAACUGGCGUUCUUGAGUGGGCGAGAAGUAUGCGGAAUGCGUGGUGUAGCGGUGAAAUGCGUAGAUAUCGAGAGGAACACUCGUGGCGAAGGCAGGUUCCUGGACAUUAACUGACGCUGAGGCACGAAGGCCAGGGGAGCGAAAGGGAUUAGAUACCCGUGUAGUC
RNAcentral lists this ribosomal RNA (460 nucleotides) under uncultured bacterium. RNAcentral describes it as "partial 16S ribosomal RNA". It matches the Rfam family "Bacterial small subunit ribosomal RNA", at positions 338 to 795 of the family's 1533-position model. The record is from RNAcentral.